RNAcentral lists this ribosomal RNA (440 nucleotides) under uncultured bacterium. RNAcentral's name for it is "partial 16S ribosomal RNA". It matches the Rfam family "Bacterial small subunit ribosomal RNA", at positions 338 to 795 of the family's 1533-position model. The record is from RNAcentral.
CCUACGGGGGGCUGCAGUGGGGAAUAUUGCACAAUGGGGGAAACCCUGAUGCAGCGACGCCGCGUGAGUGAAGAAGUAUUUCGGUAUGUAAAGCUCUAUCAGCAGGGAAGAAAAUGACGGUACCUGAUUAAGAAGCCCCGGCUAACUACGUGCCAGCAGCCGCGGUAAUACGUAGGGGGCAAGCGUUAUCCGGAUUUACUGGGUGUAAAGGGGGCGUAGACGGCAGCACAAGUCUGGAGUGAAAUGCCGGGGCUUAACCCCGGAACUGCUUUGGAAACUGUGCAGCUAGAGUGCAGGAGAGGUAGGUGGAAUUCCUAGUGUAGCGGUGAAAUGCGUAGAUAUUAGGAGGAACACCAGUGGCGAAGGCGGCUUACUGGACUGUAACUGACGUUGAGGCUCGAAAGCGUGGGGAGCAAACAGGAUUAGAUACCCUAGUAGUC